This 29-nucleotide non-coding RNA is filed under the name Homo sapiens (human). The record is from RNAcentral. Lineage: Eukaryota; Metazoa; Chordata; Mammalia; Primates; Hominidae.
UGCCUAUAUGUUGCUCCACAGUGAUGGAU